Molecule: non-coding RNA, 46 nt
Organism: Lentisphaerae bacterium GWF2_50_93
Lineage: Bacteria; Pseudomonadati; Lentisphaerota
Source: Rfam
CCUGUGGCUGAAGCCACAGGCUAUAACACUCCAUCCCUUUGGGAUG